GCCAAGUGACCAGGCGGUGGCGGCGGCGGCUCUGCCGAGGUGACAAUGUGCUAGGAGCCCCGCUCCGUCUCCUGCGCCUCCUUGGCCUGGGCGCCUCCUGGCAGCGCUCUCCGAGCCUCGCGGCCAGUCGCCGCGCUAUGAGGGAGCGUCUCCCGGGCUGGCCGAGGCCGGGGCCGCCUCUCUCUGCUGGCCGAGAAGUGUGAAGAGAGGCGCGGGCGGGCGCCGGGGCUGCGCGCGGCGCGGGCUCCAGGUGAGCGCGGCUCUCGGCGCAGCUGGCCACUAGCGGGAUUGGAUUCAGGCAGCAUCCCGUGAGCGGACCGCCGAGCUCUCUCCGCGGGAUCCUCAGGCACCAUACCAGAUGCAUUUUGUAGGAGUAUUUUGAAGAUGAAUGUUUCCAAAUCAUUUUGAAAUAGUCAAGUGCCAUAUACAUUUGUUUAUAUGGUGGAUUACAUUGAUGGAUUCUUUGAUGUUGAACCAUUUCUACAUGUCUGGGAUGAAGCCUACUUGAUCAUG
Molecule: long non-coding RNA, 513 nt
Organism: Acomys russatus (golden spiny mouse)
Lineage: Eukaryota; Metazoa; Chordata; Mammalia; Rodentia; Muridae
Exons: 3
Source: RefSeq, a predicted model, not a curated record